UACGUAGGGGGCUAGCGUUGUCCGGAAUCAUUGGGCGUAAAGAGCGUGUAGGCGGUCCGGUAAGUCCGUUGUGAAAGUCAGGGGCUCAACCCUUGAAUGCCGGCGGAUACUGUCGGGCUAGAGUCCGGAAGAGGCGAGUGGAAUUCCCGGUGUAGCGGUGAAAUGCGCAGAUAUCGGGAGGAACACCUAUGGCGAAGGCAGCCCCCUGGGCUAACACUGACGCUCAUGCACGAAAGCGUGGGGAGCAAACAGG
RNAcentral lists this ribosomal RNA (253 nucleotides) under uncultured bacterium. Its description in RNAcentral is "partial 16S ribosomal RNA". It matches the Rfam family "Bacterial small subunit ribosomal RNA", at positions 524 to 776 of the family's 1533-position model. The record is from RNAcentral.